Molecule: long non-coding RNA, 9431 nt
Filed under: Triticum aestivum (bread wheat)
Lineage: Eukaryota; Viridiplantae; Streptophyta; Magnoliopsida; Poales; Poaceae
Description: long non-coding RNA (TAES_LNC026607)
Source: RNAcentral
AAUUCUCCAAGACCCUGUCCCUGGAUGUAAUAAAGGUGCAUAUUAAUCUCAACAAUUAUAUAUUUUUUAUGUUUACAUUCUGUCCCACCAAUGUCCAGAUAUGUAUUGAAAAGUAAGGAUUAUAAAAUUCAAUUAGGGGGAAAUAAGAGACUAUACAGAGACCUCCACAUAUGAUAAAUAAUAUAAAGAUGUAGUUUCGAUAUUGUGUGGUGGUCCAGUAUCGCACCCUUUGGAAAAAAAUUCAGGGAGGUAUUUGGGUCCAAUCUGUAACAUCAAUCCAGUGUGGUAUAUCAUUGCUGCUUUCACCACCUGUACCAUUAAUCCAGUGUGGUAUAUAAUUGCUGCUUUGCUCAUCUGUACCAUCAAUUAUCGAAGAACCAACGGCCACAUUUCAUUGUUGAUUAACAGUGACUAAUUUAACUUGAGAUGCAAAUAACCCAUUGGUGUAACUGUAGUUCUAAUACCAAAGAUAGUCUCCGGUCAUGAUCAAGCAACCAGAGUUGUUCUGCUUAAGGGAAAUAAAUAACAAAGUAAAAAUAAAUAAAUAACAAUGCAUGUGCCUGCUUUGGGGCCGCAUCAUAAAUAUUUCUCUCAUGUAGAACACUCCAAUGGAGUCUAGUUUUACAACAACAGAGUGACCCAGGCAGUGUGCUAUAUUUGUGUAGGAAAACAAAACUGAGUUUAGAUGUAGUAGAUGAUUGAUUACAAAACAACAAAAUAAUAAUAUACAUAAGCAAACCAGCAAAACGAAAAAUAAUGUCACAUACUGUAAAAUUUCGCAACUUGCAAAGUCUCAAAUUCGAGGCAAUAUUAUUAUUAUAUGACUUGUAGUAUAAACAUAAUAAAGUUCAAUUGGUAACAUCGAAAGAUAGAGAUCUGUACAAGAACACCGAAGAGCACCAAAUUAUAUGUAGCAUAAGAGUAAAUCCCUGUCAUAUAUAAGAGCGGACCUCAGCCUGUAAGGACUUCCUUAUAGACGAUGUUCUUCAUCGAGGUCUGUAAGGACAAGGCAGGUCUUUUUCGCUUCUUUGGUUUACUGCUUUGCUUCUUGCCAUUCUCCUUCUCUUUCUCCUUCUCAAUGAGGAUCUUUAUGUUUCUCUUCGCGGUGGCUCGAGACAAUGCGACAUAGAGUUGACCAUGAGAGAACACCGGAUUAGGUAGGUACACGCCAACGAUCGGAAUCGUCUGUCCUUGAGCCUUGUUAAUCGUCAUAGCAAAGCUAAGCCUUACAGGAAAUUGCUUCCUCUUGAACUUGAAUGGAAACAUGUCGUUGUCAGACGGGCAUAGGGGUAUUCGAGGAAGGAAAACCCUCCUACCCGCAUGCUGUCCAAUCACGAUUUCUGCGUCGAUGGCGUUCCUCUGGAAACCUCGCACCACAAGCCUCGUCCCGUUACACAGACCAUUAGCCGGAUCAAUGUUCCUCAGAAGUAUGACAGGGCAGUUGAGCUUCAGUUUGAGUGCAUGCGGAGGCAGACCGUUGGGAGUCAAUCCAUUAAGGAACUCGGGAGCGUAGUAGCCAUAUGGGUCGUCCUCUGCACUGUCAAAGCUAUGGUAGAUUACUUCUUCUCCCCGAAAACGCUCUACCAUGCGUAUGUUUAUCUUGUCGACGUUGUCGUUCGUGGUGGAGAGAAUUGCGCGUGAAGUCAUGUAAUUCGGAUCGGUCAUGUUGUCAUCUAGUCUCGGAAACACAUGGUCAAUCAGCUUCUCCAAGUCGUCACCCUCGCCUGUAGACGGCACACAAAUAUCUUCAGGGAGUCGUAUGUUUCCUUGUUCGUCAACUUCCUCGGUGCCAUUGCCUACCCUUAGCAAGUAAUCCGCAAACCAGGUGUCAUUAUGAGCCCUCAUGUUGGUGACAAGCCUUAGCUGGCGCAUACCCUUCCAGAGGUGUGAACUUCGAAGGGUUGCAUCGAUUAUCUGACCCCGGGACCCCCUCCUGACGACCGGAAGCACCUGCCUAAAGUCCCCGUCAAACACAACAGUUUUUCCUCCAAAGGGUCGGUCCCGUCUUCCCGUGAUGUCACGCAUGCUGUUGUCCAGUGCCUCGACCGCCUGUCGCUUAGUCAUGGUGGCCUCGUCCCAUAGUAUCAAUGAGGCCAUCCUCAGUAGCUUGGCAGUACCACUCUGUUUCGUGAAGGUGCAUGAGGCGCCAUCGUCGCAGCUCAAUGGGAUCUUGAACCUCGAGUGGGCAGUCCUGCCUCCAGGCAUGAUAGAAGCGGCGACGCCUGACGUCGCGGUAGCGAUAGCGAUGUUUCCCUCACUUCGAACCUUGGCGAGCAGCGCCCUGUACAGGAAGGUCUUCCCUGUACCUCCCGGUCCAUCAACAAAGAACACACCCCCAUCACCGCGUUCAACAGAAGCUAGUAUCUCGUCGUAUGCAGCCCUCUGCUCCAAGUUUAGCGACGAAGCCAAUUUAGUGUCGUUGAUGUCAAAAUCGACGUUGGAUUCCUCGAUCACUUCUCUGGCCUCGCCCUCGGUUGGGUCGAACGCAUCGUCAAUGCAUGGAAGAGCGAAAUCAGAUAUGUCUUUGCCCAUGGACUGCAACAUACCCCUAAUGUCAAGCAACACCAUCUGUUCCACCUCAAUCGGGCAUGUGUGUGAUCGCCGAUAGUCAUCAGACAUAGGCUCGAAGUGCCUAUCCCAUAAACCACGCACGUCGCCUGGCUCACGGUGCACCAAAAUUGUUGCAAAGAGCCUCCUGAGCGAACAAGGCAUCGCCCACUGCUCUGCCUCGGUAAGACAAUUGUCGAGCGUGUUAUCUGCCUCGAUGAGUCCCAACCUUUCGGCAGCCUCUCUAAAGCUCCCGCAUAGCCUACCGUCCACGGUGAGCAGGUCCUCAUAGGAUGUCUUGCCAGCAACAUGGUUUAGUAGGACACGCAGAUAGUAUCGCUCCCCCUCGGCAGGAUUGGCAGACACAAUUCAACCUAUCUGAUAAUGCUUCACCCGCUCUUUCCAAUACUUCUUACCCUUCUGCCAUGUGAACCUUCCAGGAAAAUCCUUGUACAAUAUAUUCCUAGCCCACGGGUGGUUUUGGUUAGCUUUGAAAUACUCUGUCAACAUGGAUUUGGAAGCUUUCUCAGAGGCGACUACGUCGGUCAAGUGAGCUUGUUCAUUGAAUGCCACCCUGUGCAUAUUCGGGAGAUGAAGAGGCAACUGUAGGACAGGAGGGUCAUUGGCACACAAGGGGAAGCCAAAUAUCCUCCACAUCGCCUCUGGAGGAGUAACCCACCUCGCGUCUAUGUAUCUUUUGAUCUCAUCAAUGUUACCAUCAGCGUCGGGCUGGUCGAUGCUGAAAGAAGCCCUAUCAUGGCCCUUGUAUAUGUACUUGUAAAGGUAUUUGACGGCCUUUAUGCUGGAGCAAACCUCAACAUUGAUGUGGCAAUUGAACAUCCGCAGAAGGUAAGGGUUAUACGGCACAACCCAUCUGUUGUCCAACAUUUUACCCCGGACCUUAGCUUGCCGACCAUUAUCUCGACGACGAUAAACAGGGUAUGAGUCCUUGCCUUGUGCCGUGUUUUCAUUGAACGGCCGCGGGUAUCUGCACUUGCACUCGUUCUGUUGCAUGCACACAUUUUUGGGGUUGAGAGCACCGCAUGGUCCAUGCAUCAUAUGUUUCACCACCAAGGUGUGGAGUUCAGGAUACUUUUGCUUGUCAGGGAGCUCGGCAGAAAUGAGUCGGUCGUACUGCUCCGGAACGACAAGCUUAUAGGCAGAAUCCAUGAUCAACAAAAAGUGUGCGUGGGGGAGGCCCCUCUUUUGGAACUCGACUACGUAUACAUGUGCAACAACAACACCCAGGAUAUGCUCCUUGAACAACAUCUCUUUCAUAGCCUCUAGCUUCCCAUGGAACACACGAGCCACAAGAUCAGGUCGGUCUUGCGUUGUCUGACCAGGAAACAACUCAUUUGUUAUCUCUUCCCAGUUAGGGUUGCAUGUCAUGGUCAAGAAGAUGUCAGGCUUCCCGUAGGUAUGGACAAUUGCCAUGGCAUCCAUAUGCCUCCGCUUCAUGUCGCGGUCGCCACCUGGGUACGUUCCAGGUAGCACUAUCCUUACUCCAACAGCGCUUGCAUGGGUCUCCCCGGAUGUAAUUGCAUCAACAACUCCUUUAUACAGGUCGGCACGGAUCUUUGUAUGGUUCUUCAUGUACCAUUUCAACCUACAACUCUCAAUUUUGAUGUACAUGUCCACCCCCCAUUGCUGGAGCAAUCGUGCUCCACAGAGUAUGGGAUCGAAUAUCCCAGGUCGUGUCUGGAGCAUGUAACAGUAGUAGUCUCUCACUGAGACGCAUAACCUGCUAUUCCCCUCUGCACAUGGAUGAGUAACGCAGACAUUAGGAUUCAUAUGAGAAGUAUACAAUUCAUGUAAACAACAGAAUACGCAUAAGGCUUACCUGCAUCAUCAUCAUCAUCAUCAUCAUCACCUCUACCUCUUGGUUGUUGCACAACCGGCCAAGGUACAUCACGUUUAGGAAGUUUCGGGUGCCAACCGAGCUCCCCCCUUGGGUAGAAGAGUGGGUAAGAGAGAGGGUCAUAUGAGCUAGCCGUCACAUGUAUAUUGUGCCUCUGGUUGUCAUUCCCACAAAGUGUAAUCCUACGAUCGAACCUCUUUGCUAGGUCAGUGCCCUCCACCCAAAUUGCAGCGACCUCAGAUGACAGAGGUCUAUUAUACUUCCGUUGGUCUAGUCUCUGGUCAGUGUUGAGGUCUAUCCUGUAAUCGUCGAGGUUGUCCCUGUGCGCACCCAAACUCCUAAACUGCUGGGAGUACGGGUUCUCUCUGAGUAUGUGCACUAACUUUCUCACGACAUCUUGGUCUAAUUGCUCGGUGGCAGCCUUGCGAUGGGUUAGGCCUGGGUCGUCGUCAUAGAAGUACAACUGUAGAUGAUCUGAACGUGAUGUUGGACCGAAGGAAUGAACGUUGUGGUAGAUGGUGCCGUGCGCCCGGAACGUGUACACCCCACACUUCAUGUUUGUGUAGCUUUCAUCAAGGCUGACACCAAGGGUUGUGAACGAGAAGUGGCCGUUGAAGAACCGUAUGUUCUCCCGAAAAUGCCUUGAGUCCGCAUCCAUGCUAGACCAAAGCCUCAUUAGCUCCGGGAUGGGCUCCGGUUGCUUCAGCUCGAUCUGCCCACUGCGACAGCAGAAUCCCGGGGCCUCAGACACAAACUUCUUGGCCUUGCAGUGAUCACAAUUUGCGGCGUGCUUCAGGAUGUGUGUGUGGUCAGGGAGGUUUGAGUAGAUAUAGUCCAAUGGAUCAUGGUCGACAUAGGUAUUGUGACUUGAGUCUUCCAAUUCGUCGUGCUCCAUGUCAUCAGUAUCUGAGCCUGCAAACAAGGUUUAUAAUUAGUGUGAUAUUUCAAACCGGUGGAUGUUGCUCAAGUGGGUGUACAUACCUUCACCAGCAAACAGGUAAUACUCAUCGUCAAAGAGGCUAUCAGGGUUGACAUUAUCAUUCAUGAGACGAGUAAGGUAAGCGUCCAUGUCGUCUGCUCAGGCGCGAAACCAAUAAAUGAGGGUUCAGUCUCAAGGGACGCAAGGAGAGUAAGGAUGGGAGUGUUACCUUCACUUCUGAUCGUGUACUCCGGCGUGCUAGAUGAGGUCGAGGCACCGUGUGGUUCCACUAUGGUAGGUUGUCCAGUUGAGCUCAUUUUCGGUAUGGAGAUGGACCUGACGGUUGGGGUCAUCACCCUACCUGCAAACCUUUCAUUACGCCGAUCGCGUAGAACAUUCAUCUCACCAUGCGGUACAUGCGUACUUUUUUUUCCUUGCCAAUUUUCUGUUGACGCUUCUUUGCCACCAUACCACCCUUGCAAGCUCGCUCUCCCCUCCCAGGCGUUGCUCUGGGCUCAUGACUCUGCUCAUCCACUCCGUUAUCCGCUAUUGCUACCGGAUCACUGGUUUGCUGGUCGGCAUUUUGUAGGCACACAUUGAUUUCGCUGUGGUCUCCAUGUACAGCACCAUCACCGAAGGUUCUGCUUAGGUAUGCACCUACAACACUAUACAUCAUUAUUUAUAUCUCAUGAAUGAUUACAUGAUGGAAGAUGAUGGUUGAUAGGAUAUGUACCAUCGGUUUCGGUGUUGCGAAUGUAUGUGGGGGCCGCAUUGACCGUAGGAGCAUGAUAUAUUAGUUCACUGUCGAAUUGUUGCGUGAGGGCUGAAAGUGUGAGAGUCGGACAAUGUGUGUGAGGGUUGGACAAUGUGCUAGUUAGAUCUGGACGUGGCAUUGCGAUCGAUUCAGCACACGGAGUGUUUUUCUUUGCAGCAUACUUUGCCUUUCUCUUUGCACUUGACUCCCCCCUUUCAUCCUCAGUCAUGGUUUUAGGGUGUUGCACGCGCCAUUCUUGCAACUUCUGAUUUUUUUCUCGAAGAUCGAUCACUCCGUCACCCACUUUUUUCCGAUAACUUGCUCGCCUCCGCGCGUUUCUCUGCUCAAUUUGCUCGUCUGUUAAGUCACCCUUGUGUUCUUUAUGAGGCUGUUUUUCAUCUAGAUUCUUGCUGGCUGCCUCCUCUUUUUUCUUUCGAUAAGCAGCUCUCCUCCGAGCCUUCAUUUGCUCUUUUUUCUCGUCAAGGUCCACCGAGAUUGGUUGACACCCAUUAGUGAUAUCACCGAGAGGUAGCAGGGUCACAUUUUGCAUAUCUGCACGAAGGGUUUAGGGUCUUCAUUGUUCAAGAAGAUUUCAUGUACUACACAAACACUUAAUUUAUAUAUCUGCACGGUCAGGUUAAACAAUGAUGUAUAGCUGGAUGUAGUUGGGUUGGUAUCAUCAAGAGGUAACAGGGGAACAUUUUGCAUAUCUGCCCGGAGGGUUUAGGGUCUUCAUUGUUCACCGAGAGGUAACAGGGCUGGUUGAAGCUACUUAUUUAUCUAGGGUUUAUUUUUUAUAGAAUCCCUCCGUGUCCAUACAUAAAGUCUGUAUGUAUUCUAAAGUCCUAUGUCUGCCAUAUAUCGAAUUGAACCUAAAUGAUCAGGAAUUGUAUGAUAACACAAUGGUCAACUAUUGGUCAAUUAUUUUUAUUCACUUUCUUGGUCAAUUAUUCGUGGGGUUGGGGUCUCGGAAACAUAUGUCACCUACAUUAUUCACUAAGAAAGUAUACAUACGGUAAUCAUAUUGCUCAAACAUAAACAUCCAUACCUGAUAUCGUAAUGGCUGUCAGAUUUUCAACUUUUUGCUUGCUGUCUGCCUCCUCUUUUUUCUUUCGAUAAGCAGCUCUUCUCUGAGACUUUAGUUGCUCUUUUUUAUCGUCAUCGUCCACCGUGGUUGGUUGACACACAUUAGUGAUAUCACCGAGAGGUAACCCACCCACAUACCGCAUAUCUGCAUGUGAAAUGAUCUUAACAUUAUACUCUGGAAUGGAGUUAGUAUAUAUAAUAUCAUCGCAGUGCCUUCCCAUAAAGCAUUCUUACCUGAUAUCGUAAGGGCAGACAGAUUUUCAUCUUGUUGCUUGACGGUAGCCUCCUCUUUUUUCUUUCUAUAAGCAGCUCGCCUCCGAGCUUUUUUCAACUCUCUUUUUUCGUCAAGGUCCACAGAGGAUGGUUGAUCUGCAUUAUUGAUAUCACUUUGAGGAUGGCGUGGAACAUUAUGCGGCCUCUCUUGCCAACUGUCAUGUUGCAUGCUAGCAUAACAAUAUAUUGGACCGAAACAAGGCAAAGUUGUAGGCACAUGGUCUUAACCUUUCGGCAACAUAAUACUUACCCGAAAUCAGAUGGGAAGGUUGAUGAUCAUAUGUACUUUCACAAUCGGCCUGUUCAAGUAUCAUCCUGUCCGAGUGAAUAAUAUGGACUCCUACAAGUCACACGCUUGAUCUUUUAGAAGGGGUUCUGCCCAAGUCUGUUAUGUAUGAUUUAUGACAUAAAAAGCAUAAAAGCAAUCUCAGUAUAUAUGCACAGCCUUAAUACCUGGACUACCUGGGUAAUUCUUGUGAACAUCGUCGGCUCCAGGUAUAACCCCUUCAUUAGAAUCGUCACCAAGAUGUCCCUCCAUCAGGCCUGCAACAUCUCCUGUGAUGGUGUUUGACAUGUAUAACAAAAUAUGUAGCUGAACACAUACAAGGAGGUAGUUAUAUACCUGGAGUAUCAUAUGUGCUAUCACCAUCGGUCUCAAGUAUCAUCCGUUCGGAGGGAGUAAUAUGAACUCCUAGAAAUAAAGAUGUUGAUACAUUAGAAUCGGUUGUGCCCAAGUCUUUUAGGUAUGAUUUUCCAACUAAGAAGGAUAAAAGUAAACCUUAUACCUGGACUACGUUGGUAAAUUUUGUCAACAUCAUCGGCUACGGGUAUAAUCCCUUCGUUAGAGUCGUCAACACUUGUCCCCUCCAUCGGGCCUGUAACACAUAUGUAGUUGAACAUAUAUACGUUUGACUUGUGUAGCACAAUUUAUAGGUGAACAUAUACCUGGAGGUACAUGUGAUGAAGUCGUCUGUUCCGCUGGCUUGUUGUGUGGAGUCCCCAUAUGUAACUAUUAAAAAAAGACACGUCCAACAGACUCAGGUAUCACGCAAAAAAUUAUAAACUGACUCUGCAAGCAGAUCACGUGAAAUACCAACAGUACUAAAGGCCCUUUCCCACUACAGAAAUUCAGUCCAUAAGGGCAGGUUGUUACAGAUUUAUUAGUCUUGCUAUAUAUAUGAAAAUAGAAAGACAUGUCGAACAGACCUUGCUACUUUGCAUUUUCCUGUAUUUUUUUAGGCCACGAAAUGUAGUUUUUCUGCAAAGCUAUAGUAAUUUUGAACCAUGUCUGUUUGCUGCUGGAUACUAAACUACUGUUGUUUGUUUACAGUGCAUCUUCUGUGUUAUUUACAGUGCAACAAGAACUGUAAUUCUAAUGCAAAACUACAGUAAUUUUGAACCAUAGUUUUCAAGUUGUUUGCUGCUCCAUACUAAACUACUGUUGUGUUUUUAUAGUGCAUCUUCUUUAUUAUUUACAGAGCAAUAAGAACUGUAAUUAUCCUGCAAGGCUAUAGUAAUUUUGAUCUUUGCCUUUUAAGUUGUUUGCUGCUCCCAGUUUUACAGUGAGCUUACUGGGUUUUUAAUGUGUAUGUGUCACAGUAAAUAGCUUUGAUGCAUGUAUCUAUCUCAGGUAACACUAAUUUUCUAGUCUCUACUCAUGUUGUUUUUCCCUUUUUACAGUUAGCUAAAGGCUUUGUACUAUGCGGGUGUCACUGGGAAUAGCUUGAUGCAUGUUUGUAUGUUUUUCGGUCAAAAGGAUUUCACAAUCCAACAGAGAAAUACCCAUGGCUCUUCUUUUUGCUUGUUCUGUCAGAUUUCUUACUGUUGAACCUUAGCAAUGCUAGAGAGGAUUUUUUGACAGAACUACUACUCAUGUGAUCUUUCAGCCCUUGUUCCUCUAGAGAACUUUUGAGUAGUGGUGGGAUCUGACAAUCAGAGCUCUCCUGUGACCACAGAGUGAUGCUAGAGACACUUGUAUGGAUGAUUUGCAGUGC